Molecule: RNA transcript, 11511 nt
Organism: Triticum dicoccoides
Lineage: Eukaryota; Viridiplantae; Streptophyta; Magnoliopsida; Poales; Poaceae
Gene name: paladin-like
Exons: 21
Source: RefSeq, a predicted model, not a curated record
GCUCCCUAGCCUGCCGGCCUUCCCACCCGACCUCUUUUCUGUUCGUCCCCCCUCCCCCUAUCGCAUCGUCUUCUUCUCGCCUACUGGCUCCUUGCCUCCUCUGCCCCCGUCCUUCUCUUCCCUCCGCCGCGUUCUCCCUUCCUCCUCUUACCCCGUAUCCGCAUCACGCGCCUCGCCGCCCUGUCGGUGCCUUACAAGCCGGUCCACCGUCAGAGGAGGAGGAUUCGUGGAGGACAGGAUGGAGGUGGGUGAGAUGGACGACGUGCAGGCGGUGGGAGAGCAGGUCAUCAGCAGCAGGGGCGGCUCCGUGCUCGGGAAGAAGACCAUCCUCAAAAGUGAUCACUUCCCCGGCUGCCAGAACAAGCGCCUCACCCCGCACAUCGACGGCGCGCCCAAUUACCGGCAGGCAGGAUCACUGCGUGUUCACGGUGUUGCAAUGCCGACAAUGGAAGGAAUUGUGAAUGUGCUAAAUCAUAUUGGGGCACAAAAGAAGGGAAAGCAAACCCGAGUUCUAUGGCAUAGUCUUCGAGAGGAACCAGUUAUCUAUAUCAAUGGUCGCCCUUUUGUUCUACGAGAUGCCGAAAGACCCUUCUCAAACCUUGAAUAUACGGGAAUCAACCGGGAGAGAGUCGAGCAGAUGGAGUUUCGUUUGAAAGAAGAUAUUCUUCAGGAAGCUUCAAGAUAUGGGAAUAAGAUCCUAGUUACUGAUGAGCUGCCGAAUGGUCAGAUGGUGGACCAGUGGGAGUCAGUGAUGUCUGAUACAGUUAAGACUCCACUUGAGGUCUAUGAGGAGUUACAACAUCAAGGAUACCUUGUUGAUUACGAGCGUGUUCCUAUAACUGAUGAAAAAGCUCCGAAAGAAGGGGAUUUUGAUAACCUGGUACAUCGAAUCUCUCAAGUUGAUAUGGAGACUGAAAUUGUAUUCAAUUGUCAAAUGGGGAGGGGACGGACUACUACCGGCAUGGUCAUAUCUACGUUAGUUUACCUAAAUCGGAUAGGAGCUUCAGGUAUCCCAAGGACAAGUUCAAUUGGGAAGGUUUUCUAUGCUGGAAAUGAUGUAGAUGACUACAGUCCUAGCUCAGAAGAAGCAAUUCUCAGAGGAGAAUAUGCUGUCAUUAGGAGCUUAGUCCGAGUUCUGGAGGGUGGUGUUGAAGGCAAAAGACAAGUGGACAAAGUUAUUGAUAAAUGUGACUCUAUGCAGAACCUGAGAGAAGCUAUUGCGACCUACCGCAAUAGCACUCUUCGGCAACCUGAUGAGAUGAAACGGGAGGCAUCACUUUCCUUCUUUGUGGAGUACUUGGAACGUUAUUACUUCCUCAUAUGUUUUGCUGUCUAUGUACAUUCGGUGAGCUCCGCUCACCAAGCAACAUCUUCAGGAGUUCAUUUUUCUGACUGGAUGAGAGCAAGACCUGAACUGUACAGUAUUCUUCGAAGGCUGCUGAGGAGAGAUCCAAUGGGCGCUCUUGGUUAUUCAAGCUCAAAACCCACUCUUCCAAAAAUUAUUGAAUCUGCUGACGGGCGCCCACAUGAGAUGGAUGUUGUUGCUGCCAUGAGGAAUGGAGAAGUUCUUGGACGUCAAACUGUUUUAAAAAGUGAUCACUGUCCAGGGUGUCACAAUCUUAAUUUGCCUGAAAGAGUUGACGGUGCACCUAAUUUCCGGGAAAUUCCGGGGUUUUCAGUCUAUGGUGUUGCAAAUCCUACUGUUGAUGGCAUUCGGGCUGUUAUUCAGCGAGUUAGUACAAGCAAGGGAAACCGGCCGAUACUCUGGCAUAAUAUGAGAGAAGAGCCCGUCAUUUAUAUACAUGGAAAGCCUUUUGUGCUACGAGAAGUAGAAAGACCGUACAAGAAUAUGCUGGAGUACACGGGGAUUGGUCGUGAUAGAGUUGAGCGUAUGGAAGCUCGGUUGAAGGAGGAUAUUUUACGAGAAGCAGAACGGUAUGAUGGGGCAAUAAUGGUUAUUCAUGAAACCGACAAUGGUGAGAUCUUUGAUGCAUGGGAAAAUGUCAAUAAUGAAGCUGUUCUGACUCCACUGGAGGUAUACAAAUGUUUGGACUCUGAAGGCCUUCCAAUCAAAUAUGCACGAGUGCCCAUUACCGAUGGUAAGGCCCCCAAAAGUUCAGAUUUUGAUACGGUAGCCUUUAAUGUCGCAGCUGCUUGCAAGGAUGCUGCUCUUGUAUUCAACUGCCAGAUGGGCAGGGGCAGAACAACUACUGGUACUGUGAUUGCUUGCCUGCUCAGACUUCGAAUCAAUCACGGCAGACCUAUUGGAAUGCCAGCCAUCCAAAAUAAUCAUGAAGAUACAACUGAUGCCGAUUACUCAAGCGGAGAAGAAACAAUGGACCACAAUGGUCACUUGAAUUCAGAAUCAUGGAAACCUCACACUUUGACAGAGCUACACCCUAGAUUUGACAUUAAUGACAUCCUUCUGUUGCGAAAGAUUACAAGGCUAUUUGACAAUGGGAUUGAGUGUAGACAGAUUUUAGAUACUGUUAUUGACAAGUGUUCAGCUUUGCAGAACAUUCGCCAAGCUGUUUUGCAAUACACAAAGGUGAUUAAUCAACAAAAUCUGGAGCCAAGAGUUAGGAGAGUCGCAUUAAAUCGUGGUGCUGAAUAUUUGGAGAGGUACCUGAAAUUAAUUGCAUUCUCAGCAUACCUCGGGAGUGAAGCAUUUGAUGGUUUCUGCGGGCAAGGAGAAACAAAGAUCUCAUUUAAAAAUUGGCUGCAACAGCGUCCGGAGAUCCAAACCAUGAAAUGGAGCAUAAGACUGCGACCUGGGCGUUUUUUCACUGUACCUGAUGAGCAUAAAGCAACAUGUCAACCUCUGCAAAGUGAUGUAACGAUGGAGGCCAUCGUGAAAGCCCGUAAUGGUUCUGUUCUGGGAAAGGGAUCCAUACUCAAAAUGUAUUUCUUUCCUGGGCAGAGAAGGUCAAGCAGCAUGAACUUCCGUGGUACACCACAUGUUAUCAAGGUGGAUGGAUACCCUGUGUAUAGCAUGGCAACACCAACUGUUGAUGGAGCUAGAGAAGUUCUGUCGUAUUUGGGCUGUAAGGAUACAACUGGAAGAGACAUUAUUCAGAAGGUGGUCAUCACGGAUCUUAGGGAGGAAGUGGUAGUUUACAUCAAGGGAACACCGUUUGUUUUGAGAGAGUUAGAUCAACCUGUUGAUACACUGAAGCAUGUGGGCAUAAGUGGCCCAAUGGUAGAGAACAUAGAGGCAAGGCUGAAGGAGGAUAUACUUUCUGAAGUUAAACAGCUAGAAGGUCGGCUGCUUCUGCAUCAAGAAGAAUUUAACACAGCCACAAAUCAAUGCAGUGUAUUAGGUUAUUGGGAGCACAUAGAUCUGGAGGACGUAAUGACACCGGCUGAAGUGUACAGCACAUUGAGGGAUCAGGGGUAUUGUAUUGACUACAAAAGGAUACCUCUGACCAGGGAAAGAGAAGCAUUAGCUGCUGAUGUUGAUUCAAUACAAUCAUCAAUCAAUGAAUCUUCUAGGUACUAUCUCUUUGUUUCACACACGGGAUAUGGUGGUGUUGCUUAUGCAAUGGCCAUUACAUGCCUGAGACUUGGUGCAGAUGCAAAGUUUGUCAUGGAACAAACAGCAGAAACACACUUCGUAUCAAGUUCUCUUACAAAAAGUGUACCUGUGAAAACCUUCACUGACAUAGCCCUCAGGCAGGGGGACUACCGUGACAUACUAAACCUUACUAGAGCACUGAUACAUGGUCCUAAAAGCAAAGAAGAGGUUGACAAAGUUAUUGACAGAUGUGUUGGUGCUGGGGAUUUGCGGGAGGAUAUUUUGCAAUACAGGAAGGCAUUGCGAGAUUGUUCACAUGAUGAUGAUGAUGAUGAGGCACGGUCAUAUCUCAUGGAUAUGGGGACUAAAGCUUUGAGGUUGACUCGGCUGGGUCUCGUUCGGCUGGAUCAGACCUUCUCGCUUGGGUCGCUGCUUCCUCUCAUUAGUUUGGGCUGAACCGAUUGCUUGGUGUUUAAAGAAAAGAUUAUAUAAAAAAGCAGUUUCUGGUGAGGUCUCCUGUCCGCCGCAUCCAGUUCUUCCUGUGGCUCCUACUCCGCCAACAUCACAGGCUAUUGCUGCGGAUGCUCCUCAAGCUGCUAAGGACGCUGCUAAGCUUGCUGAUGAGACUGCGGAUCAUGCUUAUGAGCAGCAGGAGCAUGCUCUUCAGCAGGGUGACUCCAUUGUUGAUGAUUCCUACGCAUAGAGUUCUGCUAUCUAGCGCCGGCUUGACUCUCUUCACUGCUGGUUGUCCUACUUGCCAGUGUUGCCAGGCUGUGUGGCCAGACUUGGAGUUUCAUCGUGUCUACGAGUUCUUGUCUCAACUUCAUAAGGAGUUUGAGCCAUGGCGGUGGCAUGCUGAGUUGUUUGCUCGUGGCUGUAUUUCAUGAGAUACGGGCGGAGGAGACUCGCCUUUGUGGGGCAGGUUUACUUGAUGUUCCCUCUGUGCUUGAGCUCUUUCUACGCCGUCUGCUACACCGUUGUUUUUCCGCUCCAGUGCUCCGCCACUCCACUCUUGGUGGCGAGGAUCGCUCUCGUACUCAUUGUGGCUACUACAGGGAUGGUCACCUCGAGCCUGAUUGGUUCUUGAAGAAGCGACAUCUACGCCAGGCACGCAUAACAACUUCAGAGAUUUGUCCUUGACUCAGCAGGAUAUUGUGCGACUUAAGCGUCUGGUUGCAACUUCGGGUUCUAAAUCAAUAGAUUAUAUCGGUCUUGCUGCUGACUCUUCUAGCUCAGAGAAACCACCCUCUUCACAGUUAGGAGCACAACACAAGAGCUCUGCUUGGUUUUGGCCUUCGUCUCUAUGAUUUUUCUUUCACGCCAUCGCAUCUAUAGUCUAGUAUGUGCUAUCUAGUUUUCUAUAUUUUCGCUGCGUCCACCAAGUCUGUUGCUCUUUUUCGUGUUUCUCAUGUCAUGCGAGUCCACGAUACCUUUAUCCGUCAGCCUUUUGUCCUUGUCCUUUCUAUAGGAUUUUUGUGGCCUCCUUUUGGAUUGUCGAUCUACACCCAUUCUCUUGCCGCCGAGCUUCUUUCGCCGCCGGUUUUCUUGGGCUAUGAGUUUUUGCACAAUGUUUCAUUCUCUUGAUGUACCAUUUUCUUUUGACAACCCAUCUUCUCUUGUAUCUUCUACCGAUGCGGUGUCUUCCUUUGAUGCGGCAUCUUCUUUGUUAUUUAUCCCCUUUGGCUUGACUCAACAGGUUAUUAAGACUCUAAAUGCUAUGACAAAACUGUCAGGACAUAAUUUAAGGAGUAUUAGUAUUGUCUAGGAGUCCUUAUUAGGCUAUGUUUCCUUCCUUGUACCCCAAGUCUUGUGUACUAUAUACUCCCUCCGUUCCUAAAUAUAAGUCUUUUUAGAGAUUUCAAUAAGAACUACAUAUGGAUGUAUAUAGACAUAUUUUAGAGUGUAGAUCCUCUCAUUUUGCUCCGUAUGUAUGUCAGUACUAGCGCACUUACAGCAGUCAUCAAGCAAAGGACAAGGAAGAUCAGCGCCAAGAAGAAAGUAGAGAAAAUGAGCAUGUGAUUCAAAUCGAGUGUUGGGCUGAAAGGGUAGCGUGUGUAAGUGUGGGCCAUGGGCCGGCCCAGUCAUGUAAGUGAGUCGUGCGUAUAUAAGCAAUGGUCGACUACUGUAGCAAGGCAUCGAUGAUAUAAAAUUUAUUCUGAACCUCUCGUUCUCUCUUAUCCUCUCUGUAUCGUCUUCUACCUUCCGACCUUCCCUCUCUGCCUCCGAUCUAGAUCCGCCUCCUCUACCAGACUUAGGUCGCCGGAGAGAUCCUGCCGUCCCUAGGGCUUGACAAUCUGGUAUCAUAGCCGUCGCUCCGCUCGGGCCCAACUUUUUUCCCGAAUCGUACCUACCAAAUCCGAGGCGACGGUCGUGGAUCCCCUCGGGUUGAUCUGCAUAAUUCCCGACCUGAGGUGUUGAUUUGGGAACGAAUCGCGACCACGACGACAAUCAAGCUGAACCCGCAGACGCGCUUCCUCGUGUACGAGAUGGAGGCGCUACAGGAGCAGAUAUUACAGGAGUUCGCCGAGCUGCCGCGGCGCAGAGCAAGCUCACGGUCGUCGACGGCAUCUGCGCACAGCUCGAGGCUCUCGACGCCAAGCUCACAGAGCAGUCCGCCCGUCUCGACCAGGUUCAGGUGAAGGUAAAUCUCUUGUGUGACACGCUGGGAAAGGUUCAGCAGGAACAGGCACAUGUUGCACAGCUGGGGAAGCAACCGAUGCACCCAGGAAUUGGAGAGAGUUCAUCCCCCACAACAUCAAAGGUGCCGGACGGCUCACUAGGUGCCAUGCCGGGUCUUUCACAACGGGCGCCCCUGCGUUUUUCUCAGCAGAGUGCUUACCAUACCAUACAUGGGAACAGUUUUGUGUAGCAGUUCUGCAGGAAUUUGAUGUCAACAUCCACAGGGAAAGGAUGAAGGAGUUGAUGUUGCUUAACAAGGGGGCACAGUGGAGGAAUACAAGCAACAGUUUCAGCAACUUGUAUAUCACAUCAGGCUAUACGAGCCCACCAUCAGCAAUACUUUCCUGGUCACUCGCUUUGUCAUGGGGUUGAAGGAGGAACUGUGCUUGACUGUGGAAAUGCAACUUCCAGCAACGGUUCAGUUGGCUGCUAUGUAUGCUACAGUGCAAGAGGGGCUGGUGCAUCAGCAGAAGUCUCUAAAGUCCACCUAUCAAAAAAAUUCAGUUCCAAGGAAUGAUAACAGACAUAAUUUUGUUCCUAUUGAAUUAUGGAAAGCCAAGCAACUGAAGGAUUAUUGGCGUGCAAAUGGACUAUGUUAUGGGUGUGGAGAGAAAUAUGUGCCAGGUCAUGCAUGUAAACCACCAACUGCUCCUGCAGCUCAACUGAAAGCAGCAGAGUUAGUGGACCCUCAUGAACUCAUAUCAGAUGCUGUGUUGGAUGCACUAGUGGACAAUUAUCAGGAAGAAUGUGCCACAAUCUCGGACACAGUUCUGUCUGGGGCCUCACACCCUAAAACCAUACAAUUGAGAGCUCUGAUAGGAAAUCAGGUGGUGCUGAUACUCAUUGACUCUGGUAGUACUCACACCUUUGUGGAUCAAGCACUCUUGGACAGAGUUUCGGUGCCUGCACAGAAAAUGCAGAAACCCAUGCAAGUAAAAGUAGCAAAUGAAGGUCUGGUGGACUGUACCAAGUUUGUGCCUAAGCUAACUUGGUGGAUUCAAGGGCAUAGUUUUUCAAGUGCCAUGCAAAGGAUAUGAUAUCAUCUUAGGUAUGGAUUGGCUGGAACAGUGGGGAGUGAUGUAGUGUCAUUGGGCUGGGAAGUGGAUUCAGUUUGAAUAUCAGCAACAAACUGUGAGAUUGCAGGGAGUACUACCUGCUAAAGCAGAACCUAUUAAGGAGGUCUCUGUGGAGCAAUUGAGAAAAUGGGAAAAAGGAAAUGACAUCUGGGCAACUGCUAUGUUGCAUCAUAUUGUGGUUAGUCCACAAUCCCAAAUACCUGAAGAAGUUCAGCAAGUUCUACAAGCAAACAAAGCUGCUUUCAAUGAUCCUAAAACAUUGCCUCCACAAAGAGAUUUUGAUCAUGAAAUACCUCUAGUACCUGGUGCAGUUCCUGUCAACUGCAGGCCCUACAGAUACUCACCUCAGCAAAAAGAUGAAAUUGAGCGACAAGUAGCUGAAAUGCUACAGGCAGGGCUCAUUACCCCCAGUUUAAGCCCUUUUGCGUCUCCUGUGUUGUCAGUCAAGAAAAAGGAUGGCACCUAGAGAUUUUGUGUGGAUUACUGGAGAUUGAAUGAGGUAACUAUCAAAAACAAAUUUCCACUGCCUGUGAUUGAUGAGUUGUUGGAUGAACUAGGAGGAGCUAAAUGGUUUUUCAAACUGGACCUUAGGUCAGGUUACCACCAAAUUAGAAUGGCUGAAGCAGAUGAAUUUAAAACAGCUUUUAAAACCCACAAUGGCCAGUAUCAGUUCAAAGUAGUGCCAUUUGGAUUGUCAACAGCUCCUGCUACCUUUUAGUGCUUCAUGAACUACAUAUUCAAGGGCUCUAACAGAAAGUUUGUGUUAAUUUUCAUGGAUGAUAUCUUGGUUUUCAGUGGAACUUUGGAAGAACAUGUCACUCACUUGCAAUCAGUAUUUGACAUACUGAAGGAAAACCAGUUGUUUGUAAAGGAAAGCAAGUGCUCUUUUGCACAACAGUCCAUGGAGUAUUUGGGCCACAUAAUUUCUGACAAGGGAGUAAGUACUGAUCCUGCAAAAACUGCUGCAAUGUUGGACUGGCCAACUCACACCAAUGUGACUGAACUGAGGGGUUUUCUGGGUCUCACUGGAUACUACAGAAAAUUUGUGCAAAACUAUGGUUUACUGGCCAAGCCACUCACUACACUGCUCAAAAAACAGUCCUUCCAAUGGUUAGAGACAGCUGAUACAGCCUUUCAGUUGCUCAAGCAAGCUAUGGCCAUAACACCUGUGUUAGCACUUCCAGAUUUCACCAAAACCUUCACCAUAGAGACAGAUGCUUGCAAUACUGGCAUUGGUGCAGUACUCACACAAGCAGGGCGUCCUGUAGCUUAUUACAGCAAAGCUCUAGGGGUGAACUGUCAGAAGGUGUCCAUCUAUGAGAAAGAGUUUUUGGCUAUCAUGAUGGCCAUUGACAGGUGGAGGUCUUACCUGUCUAGAGCUCCCUUUUUGAUCAAAACAGACCACCUGAGUGUGCCACCUAGGAGAUCAGAACUUAACUUCUGAUCUGCAAAGGAAAGCAAGGACCAAUUCUAGUGGGACUGGAUUUCUCCAUCCAGUACAAGAGGGGUGUCGAAAAUACAGCUGCAGAUGCUUUGUCUAGAGUGGCACACCUGUUUUCAGUACAAGCAGCACUGAAGGAACAGUUAGCCGGAGCGCAGAGCAAAUACAAACAGUAUGCGGAUCGUAAGAGGAUUGACAGACAGUUUACUGAAGGAGAGAUGGUCUAUUUGCGGUUGCAACCGUAUGCCCAAUCGUCAGUGGUCAAUCGUCCUUGUCCUAAACUGGCCAUGAAAUACAUUGGUCCCUUCAAGAUUCUCAUCAAGAUCGGACAGGCAGCUUACUGGCUGGAGCUGCCGCGAGGAAGUAUGGUUCACCCGGUCUUCCACGUCUCUCAAUUGAAGGAGCACAUCCCUGACCACACUCCAGUUUUCAGUACAUUGCCAGCACCACUGGACUUGUCUGAUCCAGCCAUGCAACCAAAGGAGAUCAUUGAUCAUCGCUUGGUCAAGAAAGGGAAUGCCGCUCAUCAGCAGGUACUAGUUAAGUGGACAAAGUUUCCUGCAACGGAGGCUACAUGGGAAGACUACCAAGUGCUCCGCAACCGCUACCCAAUUGCACCAGCAUGGGGACAAGCUGGCUCUUCAGGGGAGGGUACUGUCGGUACUAGCGCACUUACAACAGUCAUCAAGCAGAGGACAAGGAAGAUCAGCGCCAAGAAGAAAGCAGAGGAAACGAGCGGGUGAUUCAAAUCGGGUGUUGGGCCGCAAGGGUAGCGUGUGUAAGUGUGGGCCAUGGGCCGGCCCAGUCAUGUAAGUGAGCCGUGCGUAUAUAAGCAAUGCUCGACUACUCUAGCAAGGCAUCGAUGAUAUGAAAUUUAUUCUGAACCUCUCGUUCUCUCUUAUCCUCUUUGAAUCGUCUUCUACCUUCCGACCUCCCCUUCUCUGCCUCUGACCUAGAUCCACCUCCUCUACCAGACUCCGGUCGCCGGAGAGAUCCGACCGUCCCUAGGGCGUGACAAUGUAGUUCGCAUUGAAUCUCUACAAAGACUUAUAUUUAGGAACGGAGGGAGUAUUUAUUAGGCUAUGUAUCCUUGUACUCCAAGUCUUGUGUACUAUAUAUUUGCCCCUUGGGCUAUGCAAUAGAGAUAAGUUGCACCCAUAAUGGUUGUCUUAUCCUUGUGCAAGCCAUGCUCACCACACCGCUGCACCCAUCUUUCAUUUUAUCUCUGUUGAUCCCCCCACCGUGGGACUUCAGGGCUAUUGACAAGAUUCGUAGAGUCUUCUUUCAGAAAGGAACCGAUGCCUUUGCGGGUGGGCAUUGUUUGGUCAGUUGGAAGGUGAUCUGCAGGACAAAGUGAGCCGGUGGCCUCAACAUGCUUGACCUGUAAAUCAUGUGUAGAGCCUUCAAUCUGCGCUGGGAGUGGAGGUUGCAUAUGGCCGCUGACAUUCCUUGGCUUUACUACAGCGCCUCACUGGAGGUUUAAGAAAAGGAUCUAUUCAAUGCUGCAGCAAAGGUUGUGGUUGGCAACGGCGAACACACCUACUUCUGAUGCGAUAAGUGGCUGGAUGGUGUUUCCUUGGACAUGGUCGCACCGGAGAUUGUCGACCUGAUCACCCCCUCAACUAGAGCGUGCAGAAAGGUGUCGAGGCCUUGCUUGAUCCGGCUUGGUUAAAAGACAUAAGGGGCACCUUAACAUCCGUGCUUAUCUUCAAUUACUCGAGCUCUGGGAAAGAGUUUGCAGUUUAAUCUCCACCCGGAGCACAAAGAUAGCUGGUCAUGAUCAUCGGAGCCUAGCGGUAAUUUCUUGGUCAUGUCCGUCUAUGCAGCACACUUUGCCGCUUCCUCUAGGAGCAGCUUCGAUGAGACCAUUUGGAGGGCUAAAGCCCCGCUCAAGUGCAAGCUCCACUUUGCCAAUCGCCUUGCCAAGAGAGAUCUCCCUCAUAACAAGCAAUUUGCCAUGUGCAGUUUCGUGCCUGAGGACUGCAGUCAUCUCUUCGCCGGCUGCACCGUCACCAAUAUAAUUUGGAACUCCAUCCUCCAAUGGGCUAACUUACAGGCGUUUGUCCCCACCAUGGACCAGGGCCUCGUGUCAUGGUGGAUCUCUGCUAGGGAAGCUUACCACGGCAAGGACAGGAAGAGGCUUGAUUGUCGUGGUAGAAAGGAAUGUUUGUGUUUUUUAAAGUACUUUAUUGUGAUCUGCGCCAUAACUUGGUAUUAUAAUUUGCAUAAACCACACAGUUAUAUAAAGUAAACUAUGAUGUUACUUAAGUUGUAUCUGCAAGUUUUGUGGGUGCUUCUACUGCCUACUUCAUGCCAAUAGGUUAUUUUAUAUAAGUGUCGCCGACUUACUACAAAGUUAUAAGCAAAGUUAGUAUAACUUUGUAGUAAAUCGGCGACACUUAUUUUUAGGACGGAGGGAGUACUAUUUUAUGACAUCCAAGAAUGUGAUCACUUUCGGACUCUGUUCUAGCUUUCUGUUUGGUUAGUAAGUGUUGCAUGGUCUCCGUAACUAAAUCUAAGAUGUUUUUGAACUGCAAGAACUUUUUAUAUUUAGUAACAGAGGUAGUACUAAAUAACAUGCAGUAGUAGCAGUUGUGACAGGGGAAUUCGGAAUUGACCAGUGUGGAAGCUAUUUUUGUUUGCAUUGUUUUGACUUUUAACAUAUCCUAGACAUGCAUAGUUGAAUUUAAUAUAUUUAGCUAGUACUCCCUCUGUCUCAAAAUAUAAGACGUCUUUUGACACUGGAGUACAUGUUUUUAAAAUGUUGGCCUUAAUAGUUUUCUUACUCUAAACUAAUGCAA